GACGAACGCUGGCGGCGUGCUUAACACAUGCAAGUCGAACGAUGAAGCUGGAGCUUGCUCCGGUGGAUUAGUGGCGAACGGGUGAGUAACACGUGAGUAAUCUGCCCUUGACUCUGGGAUAACUGCGGGAAACUGUAGCUAAUACCGGAUACGACACCUUCGGGCAUCCGAUGGGUGUGGAAAGAAUUUCGGUCAAGGAUGAACUCGCGGCCUAUCAGCUAGUUGGUGAGGUAAUGGCUCACCAAGGCGACGACGGGUAGCCGGCCUGAGAGGGUGACCGGCCACACUGGGACUGAGACACGGCCCAGACUCCUACGGGAGGCAGCAGUGGGGAAUAUUGCACAAUGGGCGAAAGCCUGAUGCAGCAACGCCGCGCGAGGGAUGAAGGCCUUCGGGUUGUAAACCUCUUUUAGUUGGGAAGAAGCGAAAGUGACGGUACCAACAGAAAAAGCACCGGCUAACUACGUGCCAGCAGCCGCGGUAA
This 484-nucleotide ribosomal RNA is filed under the name uncultured bacterium. Its description in RNAcentral is "partial 16S ribosomal RNA". It matches the Rfam family "Bacterial small subunit ribosomal RNA", at positions 28 to 523 of the family's 1533-position model. The record is from RNAcentral.